GAAGAAGGUGGCUAGCGUUGUUCGGAAUUACUGGGCUUAAAGCGCACGUAGGCGGCUUAUCAAGCGUCUUGUGAAAUCCCUCGUCUCAACCGAGGAAUGGCUGGGCGAACUGAUAGGCUUGAGGCAGGUAGGGGCGAGUGGAACUCUUGGUGGAGCGGUGGAAUGCGUAGAUAUCAAGAGGAACGCCAGAGGUGAAGACGGCUCGCUGGGCCUGUCCUGACGCUCAGGUGCGAAAGCCAGGGGAGCAAACGGG
Molecule: ribosomal RNA, 253 nt
Filed under: uncultured bacterium
Lineage: Bacteria
Description: partial 16S ribosomal RNA
Rfam family: Bacterial small subunit ribosomal RNA
Source: RNAcentral